Molecule: ribosomal RNA, 460 nt
Filed under: uncultured bacterium
Lineage: Bacteria
Description: partial 16S ribosomal RNA
Rfam family: Bacterial small subunit ribosomal RNA
Source: RNAcentral
CCUACGGGUGGCAGCAGUGAGGAAUAUUGGUCAAUGGACGAGAGUCUGAACCAGCCAAGUAGCGUGAAGGAUGACUGCCCUAUGGGUUGUAAACUUCUUUUAUCUGGGAAUAAAACGUUCCACGUGUGGGAUUUUGUAUGUACCAUAUGAAUAAGGAUCGGCUAACUCCGUGCCAGCAGCCGCGGUAAUACGGAGGAUUCGAGCGUUAUCCGGAUUUAUUGGGUUUAAAGGGAGCGUAGGUGGAUUGUUAAGUCAGUUGUGAAAGUUUGCGGCUCAACCGUAAAAUUGCAGUUGAAACUGGCAGUCUUGAGUACAGUAGAGGUGGGCGGAAUGCGUGGUGUAGCGGUGAAAUGCUUAGAUAUCACGAAGAACUCCGAUUGCGAAGGCAGUUCACUGGACUGCAACUGACACUGAGGCACGAAAGUGUGGGUAUCAAACAGGAUUAGAUACCCCUGUAGUC